ACCGUGGUGGUGGAAUUGGUAGACACGCUACCUUGAGGUGGUAGUGCCCUAAAGGGCUUAUGGGUUCAAGUCCCAUCCUCGGUA
RNAcentral lists this transfer RNA (84 nucleotides) under Serratia symbiotica str. 'Cinara cedri'. RNAcentral's name for it is "tRNA-Leu (GAG) (tRNA-Leu-GAG-1-1)". It matches the Rfam family "tRNA". From Rfam's summary of the family: Transfer RNA (tRNA) molecules are approximately 80 nucleotides in length. Their secondary structure includes four short double-helical elements and three loops (D, anti-codon, and T loops). Further hydrogen bonds mediate the characteristic L-shaped molecular structure. tRNAs have two regions of fundamental functional importance: the anti-codon, which is responsible for specific mRNA codon recognition, and the 3' end, to which the tRNAs corresponding amino acid is attached (by aminoacyl-tRNA synthetases). tRNAs cope with the degeneracy of the genetic code in two manners: having more than one tRNA (with a specific anti-codon) for a particular amino acid; and 'wobble' base-pairing, i.e. permitting non-standard base-pairing at the 3rd anti-codon position. Lineage: Bacteria; Pseudomonadati; Pseudomonadota; Gammaproteobacteria; Enterobacterales; Yersiniaceae. The record is from RNAcentral.